CCUACGGGAGGCUGCAGUGGGGAAUAUUGGACAAUGGGGGGAACCCUGAUCCAGCCAUGCCGCGUGUGUGAAGAAGGCCCUCGGGUUGUAAAGCACUUUCAGUGAGGAAGAACGCCUGGUGGUUAAUACCCAUCAGGAAAGACAUCACUCACAGAAGAAGCACCGGCUAACUCCGUGCCAGCAGCCGCGGUAAUACGGAGGGUGCGAGCGUUAAUCGGAAUUACUGGGCGUAAAGCGCGCGUAGGUGGCUUGAUAAGCCGGUUGUGAAAGCCCCGGGCUCAACCUGGGAACGGCAUCCGGAACUGUCAAGCUAGAGUGCAGGAGAGGAAGGUAGAAUUCCCGGUGUAGCGGUGAAAUGCGUAGAGAUCGGGAGGAAUACCAGUGGCGAAGGCGGCCUUCUGGACUGACACUGACACUGAGGUGCGAAAGCGUGGGUAGCAAACAUGAUUAGAUACCCCAGUAGUC
Molecule: ribosomal RNA, 465 nt
Filed under: Vreelandella stevensii
Lineage: Bacteria; Pseudomonadati; Pseudomonadota; Gammaproteobacteria; Oceanospirillales; Halomonadaceae
Description: partial 16S ribosomal RNA
Rfam family: Bacterial small subunit ribosomal RNA
Source: RNAcentral